Molecule: non-coding RNA, 2119 nt
Organism: Tetranychus urticae (two-spotted spider mite)
Lineage: Eukaryota; Metazoa; Arthropoda; Arachnida; Trombidiformes; Tetranychidae
Source: RefSeq, a predicted model, not a curated record
UAACAGAAAGAAAGAAGAUGACGAUGAUGAUGCAGAGUGAGAGGAAAUACAGGUUUUUGCUUACGGGCGAUGACCAGUACGACGGCGACGUAAUCUUUGGACGUUGUUCACAUUAGCAUUGGAUGAAAAUUCCAACACCAAGAGGAUUGGCAAACAAAGAAAUCUCAAGUAGUAAAGUGAAAAGCUAAAUCAAGCCGAAGAGGCUGUCAAAAAAAGAUGUACAUAGGAAGAGAUUGACCUCGUGCUUUUUGCUAUCAUGAUAUGCUAUGAUGAUCAUGUCACCUGAGCAACAUUAAGCAGCAAAAUUUCUUUCAAAUUAAUUGGCUCUUACCUGAACCAAUCCAAUCUAACGCUAAAUCUUGCUUAUAACAAAAAGAGACUUUGCUAAUCUUGAUAUAUCUCGACCUUUUUCAUUAUUAAUAGCAUAUCUUCAAGAAAAUAAUGAAUGCUAACUUCUGUCACUUGCUUUCUAUUAGCUUUUCUUUCUCUCUCCGCUUUUUUAACGCUUACAAUCAGGUAAACCCUGAGUUUUAGGUCUUUGCGCUUAAUUGUGAAACGUUAAGAGAAAAAAAAGGAACGAAAAAUAAGCCAACUUAAAAAGAAAAGGAAAAGUCUCAAGAAAUAAGAGAAGCCUUCAUUAUCGUCAAUGGUACCCUUAAUUACUUGUUAAGCUGCAUUUUCAAAGUUGACAUGAUCGAAGCAGCAACACAAUUGGAUGUAAACUAAAACCAAUUGACAUUUGAUUAUUUUUCGGGCUUAUUAAUCACUGUUUUGCAGCUACAAAUUAUUUGUAUUUAGAUUAUUUGUUUUGCAAAUAUCUGAUACUUUUAUUUGGAAAUCAAUCAAAACGCAGCGCAAAUGACUCUUGUUUCUUGGAAGUGUUCAUUUGGUUGCACUCGUUCCUCGAAUCCGACAAAAGCUCUAAUCUAUCAAGGAUUGAAACAAAAUAAUCAUCAAUCAAUACUAAUAACUUGUUUAUUUGGCCAUUUGAUGUACAACUAUAUCCAUCACCUAAACAUUUGCACAUCACCAUCAAUUUGGAUCCCAAUUCAGGCUCAAUUGGUAAUGAAAAUUGUCAUUGUUGGUGAAGCUUGGACAGCUAAUUCAGCUUAAUUGAAACAAGAGAUUUUAAUUGAAAGUUAUGGCGAUAUUUCACUUGGAAAUUGGUUUAAUUUAAAUUUCGAUGUAUUUUUGUGUUUUACUUUCUUCUGCAAAGUAGAUCACAAUUAAUGUUACAUUCAUUUUAAGCUGCCAAUUGAAUUUAAUCAUUUAUAUUUCAUACUCAACAUUGCACAAAUAUUGAGGCUCAAUACAAAAGAUGAAAAGAAACAAAACAACAACAAGAUCAACAAAUAAUCAAUUGAUUACAACUUCCUGCCUUUUUCAUCAAAAGUAAAGUGCAAAAGAAAUUAAAUUUUCAUCAAAAUCAGUCUUAAUUUUGGGCCGAUGAUCACCCAUUAACCAUGCCAUCUUUAUCCCCAUCAUAAUCAUCGUCAUCGCCAUCAUAAUUAUCUUCAUCAAUCAUUUAAUAAGCUGAUAAAACAUCUCCAAAUAAUUGUUAAAUAUUGGUUUGCAAUAUUUUGCUUUCUCUUCCUCCUCUCCACAUCAAAAUAGAUUGUUUAACAAUUUAAACAAUUUAAAUGCAAAGAUGGUUGGUGAAAUUCAUAUUCAAUUGCUCUACUAGAUUCAGUCUAAUCAUAUUUCACAAAAUUGAUCAAACAACUUCCACUACAGCUGACCAAAAGUCACAAAUAAACUAACCAUUAGCAUUUGGAAAACAAAAUUUCUGAUAAAUUAAGUAACAAUUGAUUCCAACAUUCUGAUCAAAUAACACUUUUAACUUUUCAACACAAUCAAGUGAACCUUUUAUUGGCUUAAUUGUUCUUAAACUUUCCGAUAACUGUCUUCGCUAUUUAAAAGACCAACAGAUUGUUAGUUUGAAUAGAGGAAAACAUUUUAAACCAAUUCUUGAUUAGGUAAAUAAAGAUGUAUAACAUUAAAUUGUUUAACAUAAAAAACCCAAAAUAGUCUUUUAAUAAGUAUUAAAAUUCAACAAAUUUAAUAAUUAUAUGACUGUUUCUCAAUCUCCAUUAAAUUAUCAUCUCAAUUGAAAAAUUAA